Molecule: ribosomal RNA, 317 nt
Filed under: Eratigena atrica
Lineage: Eukaryota; Metazoa; Arthropoda; Arachnida; Araneae; Agelenidae
Description: partial 12S ribosomal RNA
Source: RNAcentral
AAGUAGUAUAUUUUAAAUAAAACUAAUUUAUUUUGGCGGCAUUUCAUCUAAUUAGAGGAAUUUGUCCUUUAAUCGAUAAUCCGCGCUAAAUUUCACUUUAAUCAAUAAUUUAUAUACCGCCAUCUUAAGAAUUAAUUAAAAAAUAUUAUUCAAAAAAAAAAAUAUAAAAUGUUAGGUCAAGGUGUAAUCUAUAUUAAAGAAAUAGAUGAAUUACAUUAAAAAAAAUUUAAAGACUAAAUAUUAAAAAUAUUAACAAAUAAGAAUUUAAAAGUAAUAUUAAAAAUAUUAUUAUAAUAUGAUUAAAAAAAGAAAUGUGC